This 465-nucleotide ribosomal RNA is filed under the name uncultured bacterium. RNAcentral's name for it is "partial 16S ribosomal RNA". It matches the Rfam family "Bacterial small subunit ribosomal RNA", at positions 28 to 507 of the family's 1533-position model. The record is from RNAcentral.
GAUGAACGCUGGCGGCGUGCUUAACACAUGCAGGUCGAACGGAAAGGCUCCUGCUUGCAGGGGUACUCGAGUGGCGAACGGGUGAGUAACACGUGGGUGAUCUGCCCUGCACUUCGGGAUAAGCCUGGGAAACUGGGUCUAAUACCGGAUAGGACGAUGGUUUGGAUGCCAUUGUGGAAAGUUUUUCGGUGUGGGAUGAGCUCGCGGCCUAUCAGCUUGUUGGUGAGGUAAUGGCCUACCAAGGCGUCGACGGGUAGACGGCCUGAGAGGGUGGACGGCCACAUUGGGACUGAGUUACGGCCCAGACUCCUACGGGCGGCAGCAGUGGGGAAUAUUGCACAAUGGGCGCAAGCCUGAUGCAGCGACGCCGCGUGGGGGAUGACGGCCUUCGGUUUGUAACCUCCUUUCGCUAGGGACGAAGCGCAAGUGACGGUACCUGGAGAAGAAGCACCGGCUAACUACGUG